RNAcentral lists this transfer RNA (71 nucleotides) under Orestias ascotanensis. RNAcentral's name for it is "tRNA-Ser". It matches the Rfam family "tRNA". From Rfam's summary of the family: Transfer RNA (tRNA) molecules are approximately 80 nucleotides in length. Their secondary structure includes four short double-helical elements and three loops (D, anti-codon, and T loops). Further hydrogen bonds mediate the characteristic L-shaped molecular structure. tRNAs have two regions of fundamental functional importance: the anti-codon, which is responsible for specific mRNA codon recognition, and the 3' end, to which the tRNAs corresponding amino acid is attached (by aminoacyl-tRNA synthetases). tRNAs cope with the degeneracy of the genetic code in two manners: having more than one tRNA (with a specific anti-codon) for a particular amino acid; and 'wobble' base-pairing, i.e. permitting non-standard base-pairing at the 3rd anti-codon position. Lineage: Eukaryota; Metazoa; Chordata; Actinopteri; Cyprinodontiformes; Cyprinodontidae. The record is from RNAcentral. RNAcentral also lists the same sequence under 3 other names.
AAGAAAGUGGCAGAGUGGUAAUGUGAUUGGCUUGAAACUAAUCUACGGGGGUUCAAUUCCCUCCUUUCUCG